UUCAAUUGUGUUUUAUUGGUAUUGAUUAGUGGUCAAUUUCUUUGGCGGGAACUUCACAUUUCUACAUGGUCACUUUGUGUAAUGGACACCAUUUUCAUUGUCUAGUAAAUUGUAAUAUUAUAUUCUAUUUGGAGUUUGGUUUUCCUAUUUAUAAGGUAUAUUCCAUAUUGAUGACCCACCAUGUCGGCAUCAACCUGAUGUGAUUGUAUUCUUAUUGUGUUCAAGCCUUCACAAAUACCUGUGAGGUAGGUUAUGUUAUGUUGAAUCUAUGUGCGUUUUGCUUAUUGUAUUGUCUGCUCUAGAAAGUGCUUUAUGCUUUGUUUGCACGUAUGUUCUUGCUUUGCAUGUAUAUGUUAUUUUUAAAUAUGCUUAUUUAAAUUUGGUAUUUAACAGUUCAAUGCAUUACUGUUAUAAUGUAUUACUAAUGCAUCGACAUAUGCAUUAUGAUUAGAUUUGGUAUUUAGAUGUAUUCAUGAGACAAUAGAAUUGGAGAUCACUAUUUCCGACUUAAUGAAAUUAUAUAGUAUUCUUUUAUUAUUGAAAUGCUUGGAAAAGUAAACAGUUUCCUUGUUCAUAAUUGUUAACAUAAUGUUUUAAAUCUUUUAUAUAGUUACUUAAUUAUAUUACAUCCAUUAAUAUAAUGUAUUGUUAUUACAGGGUGUUUAUUUUGGAUUACAAUAUAAACGAAAUAAAGAAUCCAUAACUUUA
Molecule: long non-coding RNA, 708 nt
Organism: Mytilus trossulus (common blue mussel)
Lineage: Eukaryota; Metazoa; Mollusca; Bivalvia; Mytilida; Mytilidae
Exons: 2
Source: RefSeq, a predicted model, not a curated record